Molecule: RNA transcript, 652 nt
Organism: Rhinopithecus roxellana (golden snub-nosed monkey)
Lineage: Eukaryota; Metazoa; Chordata; Mammalia; Primates; Cercopithecidae
Gene name: 60S ribosomal protein L39 pseudogene
Exons: 1
Source: RefSeq, a predicted model, not a curated record
AUCUACUCGAGUAGAAAGAACCCAGGAUUGGGUCAGGUCUAAUUUUGAAUCCAAACUGCUCCAUUUCUGGCUGCAUAGCAUGGGGUCCUGUUUCCUCAUCCGCCAGACGCCUGUUACUCACGAAGCUCUCUGAAGCUGUCGGAUUUGAUGAACCCAAAGUAGUAUCAGGCCCAAGUCUGGAGCUGCACAGACUGGAGUGUCUCCUGUCUGUGUUGAGGAAGGGGGGCAUCCCUGUGGGCCUGAGCUGGGCUAAGACAUGAGGCCACCCUCUCUUUUCCUUUCUCCGCCAUCGUGAUGUGUUCUUGCCUCGCUUCUCACCAUGUCUUCUCACAAGACUUUCAGGAUUAAGCGAUUCCUGGCCAGGAAACAAAAGCAAAAUCGUCCCAUUCCCCAGUGGAUUCAGAUGAAAACUGGAAAUAAAAUCAGGUACAACUCCAAAAGGAGACAUUGGAGAAGAACCAAGCUGGGUCUAUAAGGAAUUGCACAUGAGAUGGCCCACAUAUUUGUGCUGUCUGAAGGUCACGAUCACAUUACCAUAUCAAACUGAAAAUGUCACCACUAUCUGGAGAGUUCGACGUGUUUUCCUCUCUGAAUCUAUUAUGAAUGCAUUGGUUGGCUGGGUUCAGUAAUAAAUAUGUGAGGCCUUUCAUUU